AAUUGAUGGUGAGGGCAUCUUGCCACCAAUCUCUUGUAUCGUUCCCAACAUUCAUAUAAAGAUUCUCCCACAUUUUGCUUCAACCCGCAAAUCUCCUUGCAAAUU
Molecule: small nucleolar RNA, 105 nt
Organism: Papaver somniferum (opium poppy)
Lineage: Eukaryota; Viridiplantae; Streptophyta; Magnoliopsida; Ranunculales; Papaveraceae
Source: RefSeq, a predicted model, not a curated record